This 274-nucleotide ribosomal RNA is filed under the name uncultured bacterium. RNAcentral describes it as "partial 16S ribosomal RNA". It matches the Rfam family "Bacterial small subunit ribosomal RNA", at positions 523 to 796 of the family's 1533-position model. The record is from RNAcentral.
AUACGGAGGGUGCGAGCGUUGUUCGGAAUUAUUGGGCGUAAAGAGCAUGUAGGCGGUCUGUUAAGUCUGGUGUGAAAGCCCGGGGCUCAACCCCGGAAGUGCAUUGGAUACUGGCAGACUUGAGUAUGGGAGAGGAAAGCGGAAUUCCGAGUGUAGGAGUGAAAUCCGUAGAUAUUCGGAGGAACACCAGUGGCGAAGGCGGCUUUCUGGACCAAUACUGACGCUGAGAUGCGAAAGCGUGGGGAGCAAACAGGAUUAGAUACCCUUGUAGUCC